RNAcentral lists this ribosomal RNA (229 nucleotides) under uncultured bacterium. Its description in RNAcentral is "partial 16S ribosomal RNA". It matches the Rfam family "Bacterial small subunit ribosomal RNA", at positions 568 to 796 of the family's 1533-position model. The record is from RNAcentral.
UGCGUAGGCGGGCUUGUGCGUCAGAGGUUAAAUCCCACAGCUCAACUGUGGAACUGCCUUUGAUACGGCAAGUCUUGAGUGUGAGAGAGGAUGGUAGAAUUCCUGGUGUAGCGGUGAAAUGCGUAGAUAUCAGGAGGAAUACCAGUGGCGAAGGCGGCCAUCUGGCUCACUACUGACGCUGAGGCACGAAAGCGUGGGGAGCGAACAGGAUUAGAUACCCUGGUAGUCC